This is a long non-coding RNA of Acinonyx jubatus (cheetah), 1866 nucleotides long. RefSeq lists it as uncharacterized. The transcript has 4 exons. NCBI's taxonomy places the organism in Eukaryota, Metazoa, Chordata, Mammalia, Carnivora, Felidae. The record is from RefSeq and is a predicted model, not a curated record.
ACCACCUCUUUGCAGAACUGGAGGUGAUCACCUCGCAUGCUCAAAUGCUUGGUCUUAGGCCACAAAGUUUGGCAGAAAUCAGUGAUUUUUCAGAACGUUGGAAGGUGCCCACAACUGGCGCUAGUGUACUUUUUGUCACUUCAAACCACCUAUGGACAGUCCUUUGCUUUUCCAUACAAGAGUGAGCUUAGGAAUGCUUUGCUUCAUUCUAGGUCAGGCUGCCUGCACAUAUAGACCCUUUCCUGUGCUGCCUUAUUGCCAUUAAAUACAGCAUAUGACAAGAUUUUGUUAAUACUGUACUGUGGUCAACAUCUGUUAGUGAUAGUGAAAGUCAUCCUACACAAUAAUCCACCUCUCCCUUGACUCCCUCACACUAGCUGCGAAGGUAUUCAAAGCCCAUCUGAAAAACCACUGCAUCCUCUGUAGGUGUAAGAAUAGUCUGCUGUAAGGUCAGGAGAUGAGAUCAACUCCUCAACAGAAAAUGUUGUCUAACCAGGAACCAAGAUGGCCCUUCCCAGGAUGCUGAUGAACCACCAGCACAUUCUUUGAUUUUCCUCACCCUCAUUAUUUACAAUAGCCAAGAUAUGGAAGCAGAUGAAGUAUCCAUCAAUAGGUGAAUGGAUAAAGAAGAUGUAGUAUAUAUACACAAUGAACUAUUACUCAGCCAUAAAAAAGAAUGAAAUCUUGCCAUUUGGAACAACACAGAUGGACCUAGCAGCAAAAUUGAAAACACAGCCUUUUCCUGAUGACCAGAUGGCCCAGCAGAUUUAAUCACUUCAAGUACCCCGCACUUCCUCUUCACUACCCUCCAUGGUGGGGAAAUCAGAGGCAAACUCCUUAUUUCUCCCAGAUGCCAACCUCUCUCAAGUGCUUCCCUCAAUCAUUAUUUUUAAAAUACCAGAGCAAUGGAGUUGGGAGAAAGCAGCAUGUCUUUAAAGCUAUAAAAGAAAACCAAUCUUCAGAGGAGAGUAAGAGUAAGUGAAAAAGAAGUCAAAGUUAUAUUCUUCAUUAAUAUUUAAUUUAACAAGGACGCCACUUACAUUUAUUUUAGCUUAUCUGGUAUUGUUGUUUAGAUUAAAAUUUUCCUUCAAAUUCACAUUGAGGUCUUCAGUGAGUAAAGCAAAGAAAUUCUGAUGGAUAACGUAGAGCAAUAUGAAUAGAAUCUUACGUCAUUGAUAUCCACUUAAUACUGUGGACUGUUUUAGCUAAUAAAAGCUUAUCAUGAUUCCUGAGUUUCUUUUGGCAUAUUUUCCUUUGAUAGUCUUAUAUAGGUAGUUUAUUAAAUGGGCAAGGGGCAUUAAGGACAUUUAGGCAAAGGGCAUUUACUUCCUGUUUCUUCCACCUGAAAAGAUGGGUACCUUAGGCUUACCAAUACAUGAAAAAAUACAGGAAAAGAAAUUCAUGUGGGUAAGCUACAUUCCAGCACAGAUAAGUUAACUACACGAAAGGAGAUUUUCUCCACAGUUUGGUCUCUUAUAUCAUCAGGAAAUCAACCCUCGACCCAUUCCUCAAACCAAUUUUAAAGAUGGUAACUAAUGUUCUCAUUUACAUGGGAAUUGAUAACUCCUUCAAUAAUUGCUUAAAACAAUAACAUGUGAAGGUUGCUAUGAAUUGUCAAGGAAAAUUAAUUUGCAGGAGGGAUUUUUAUUAACAGAGUUGUGAAGUGAAACAAAAAAGGAAGUGGCAGCACCUCUUCUGCAUUUGGAAAAUAUGCUCUUAGAAAAUGUGCAAGCAAGUCACAUACACACUUGUUUCUAAAAGCUCAGGACACUAAUGCAUUCUAAAAAGCAUGGCUAUAAAGCCAUCAUUCAGAAAUAAAAGUGGAUUCUACAGGUUCCAGCCUAAAUGGUUAGAUGGCAUAUUUUC